GAUGAACGCUGGCGGCGUGCCUAAUACAUGCAAGUCGAGCGAACAGAUGAGGAGCUUGCUCCUCUGACGUUAGCGGCGGACGGGUGAGUAACACGUGGAUAACCUACCUAUAAGACUGGGAUAACUUCGGGAAACCGGAGCUAAUACCGGAUAAUAUAUUGAACCGCAUGGUUCAAUAGUGAAAGACGGUUUUGCUGUCACUUAUAGAUGGAUCCGCGCCGCAUUAGCUAGUUGGUAAGGUUACGGCUUACCAAGGCAACGAUGCGUAGCCGACCUGAGAGGGUGAUCGGCCACACUGGAACUGAGACACGGUCCAGACUCCUACGGGAGGCAGCAGUAGGGAAUCUUCCGCAAUGGGCGAAAGCCUGACGGAGCAACGCCGCGUGAGUGAUGAAGGUCUUCGGAUCGUAAAACUCUGUUAUUAGGGAAGAACAAAUGUGUAAGUAACUAUGCACGUCUUGACGGUACCUAAUCAGAAAGCCACGGCUAACUACGUG
This 497-nucleotide ribosomal RNA is filed under the name uncultured bacterium. Its description in RNAcentral is "partial 16S ribosomal RNA". It matches the Rfam family "Bacterial small subunit ribosomal RNA", at positions 28 to 507 of the family's 1533-position model. The record is from RNAcentral.